GCCAUCGUGGUUUAGUGGUCAGCACGCUCGGCGCGUAUUCGAGAGGUCCGUGGUUCGAGUCCCGGUGAAGACA
Non-coding RNA from Stegodyphus mimosarum, 73 nucleotides. The record is from Rfam. NCBI's taxonomy places the organism in Eukaryota, Metazoa, Arthropoda, Arachnida, Araneae, Eresidae.